This 169-nucleotide small RNA is filed under the name uncultured Pseudescherichia sp. RNAcentral describes it as "sroC RNA". It matches the Rfam family "sroC RNA". Rfam says of the family: This family consists of a number of bacterial sroC RNA genes of around 160 bases in length. sroC is found in several Enterobacterial species. The record is from RNAcentral. Lineage: Bacteria; Pseudomonadati; Pseudomonadota; Gammaproteobacteria; Enterobacterales; Enterobacteriaceae.
ACUAACUAGAAACACAGGGCGACUAUCGCCCUCUCGAUUGACGGGAAGCACGGACAGACUAGACGCUGGAGGGUCGUUCCCCCAUCCGGCGCGACGCUUACGCAUAAAAAGGUGCGUAAAGCUUCUCACCAAUCUUCGAGGGUAGCGCUGCUACCCUUUUUUUUCUGAG